This is a long non-coding RNA of Poecilia latipinna (sailfin molly), 2919 nucleotides long. RefSeq lists it as uncharacterized. Lineage: Eukaryota; Metazoa; Chordata; Actinopteri; Cyprinodontiformes; Poeciliidae. The transcript is spliced from 2 exons. The record is from RefSeq and is a predicted model, not a curated record.
UUAUUAAGGGAAAUGUUUAUUUUAAUCCAGCUUGUCCUGUUCACAACAUGAGCAGAAUUUAUUGUCAUGUUAAUAAAAUUCAUUAUCAGAUCAGCAAUUUAAUUCAUGCAAUUGGGAACAAAAAGUUAAAUUAUUCGAAAGUAAAAUAAGAAGUAAUUUUAACUAGGUGUUUUUUCUUGCUCAUUGUGAAAUAAGUAUUUGUUUUAAAUUGCACCAAUAAGUUCAAAACUCAAACAAUGCUUACACAACUUGUCUCUUGUUCAGCUUCACAAACUUUCAUUUCUGAGUUAAAAAUAAAACAAUUUUCUUGUGGACUUGAAUCGCAUUUUUCAUCUUCAAAUGUUUUACAGAGCUGCAACAUUACAGCUGCAAAGGAUUUGAUGCCUCACUUGUGAAUAUCACUAAGAGCCCGGCUUUUCUUUAAACUCUCUCUUAUCCGUGUUUGUCAGGAUAAGACAAACACGUGGUGCUGCGCCCCACGCCGCAGCACAUUCAAUCCCCUGUUCAAACAUCCAUGGUCUCCUCCCCCCAGGACUCUGACCUGCAUCCUGGGGGUCUGUGUUUUCUGCUCUGCUGCUCCACGCCUGAGGAACAUCCUGCUUUACAAACAGCCCAAAGCCACUGGAAAGGAGAAUAUAAACCUUGCUUUUUAAGAGACAUUUUAACCUUUAGAUCCUCUGUGCUUUUAUUACCUUUUUACAGGUGAGAUUUUAUCUGUUAUGCCUCCAGAUUGCUUUUAUGUAGCACUGUGAUGUUGUGAACUGUUUUAGAAAUAAAAUCCAUUCUUCGUCCUCGACCUGUCCGCUGUGUUUUUUUUUUUUUUUUGGUCUCUCAUUUUCUCUAACAAACCUUUGAGGCAUUCACAGAAAAGCUGAGAUUAAAUUACACACAACAGGUGCGCUCUAUUUACUGAACAUGAACCUCUGAAUAAAACUGAAUCGGGAAAGUCCCACACAUACUGAGAACCACUGCUGAAGACAAAAUAAAUAAAUAGAAUACAAAUAAACAUAACGAUGAUGUCCAGUACAAUAAAUGUUCACUUCUACAGCGACCAUGUCAAUGCCAGACCUAAAUCAAUUUGAGAGGCAGCGGUUUGACCUUCUGCAGAGACAUGUGGACAAAUUCCCACAAAGCUGAAAAAGAUUUACUUCCAGCUAUCACAAAAUCUUGAUGGUAGUUGUUGCCGCUUUUCACUUUGGAGUUUUAUUAGCUAGUUGCUUCCACAUAAGGUCUUUUCUGAAAGAACUUAAAGGAAAAGUUCAUAUUUAUUUUUGCCCAUCAAAUCCAAACUUGGUUACAGUAACAUCCAAGCUGGUUAGCGUUAUCAUGCCACAACUCUUCUUUUUUUCAGCAAACUACCACAUUUUGUUGCUAACAGAAGGAUAUUUUGCACAAAUGUGUUCACUGAUCAGAGUAUCGGAUAUUUUUUUAUUAUAAAGAUACUCCAGAAAAUGUUUUUUUUCUUUUCAUCUGAACUGACCUGUAGCUAAUAUAGCCACCUCAUUUGCAGCAAAAGCAAAUGUGGUGGAUUAGCAGGUCUUCCCAGGACGUGUUGCUGUCAAGAGACGGUCAUACAGCAACAGUCUUCAGUCAGAGGCCUCUUCAGAUGUGUUGCAAAACUGACUGCUACCAGAAAUCCUUUCUGCUCACAUCUUAAUCAUCUCCUUCUAUUUGGAUGAAUUAUGCCGUCUAAUUAAGCCGUCUGUGGGAUAAAUAAAGUACUUUUGAGCUGAAUUAGUUCCUGCCAGGCCCAUCUUGUCCUGUACUUUGGCCUCAUUAUAAUGUUGGCCUUUAUAAGUGAGAUGUGUAGAUAGUUGUGGGGAUGGUUUUAUGGAUUCUACAGGACUUUCCAAGACUUUUACCACAUUAAUGAGUCUUAAAGCAAUUUUUAAUUAAAUUAAAUAAAAUUUGGGAGCAACUCAAAUGUUAUUCAUUUUCCUGAAGUCAUUAACCUUCCACUAAUUUCUCACUGAACCCCGAUUACGAAGCCUGAAAAGGUCAAUUUGUGGACCAGGCUGUCAGAAUAUUUUAGUUCAUUUUAUUCCUUGACUAUGCAAACAGAACAUUUUUUACUAUAUUUGCAUGUUUUUUUUUAAUGGCCCGAAUCCUGUUAUCAUAAUUGUUAAUCAUAAAAAAUUGAGGACAUGCUUUAGUCUUGGUUACUCAAAGGUAAGAUGUUAACUACACAUAACUGCUGCACAGAACCCUGCUUAAAAAAUGUGAUUUGUCUCUUUAAUGGAUCCAUGCCUCAGUGAUUCUCCAGGGUUGAACAGAGACAGAACUUUCUCAGUCCAAACAACUUCCACACAAGUUUUUCUUCUGGGUUUUGUUCCUUCUAGGCUACCACACUCACAAGCUGCAUGGCUCCUUUCUCCUCUGCUUUUAAAUCCCAGCCUUCAUGCUGUCAGUGCCAGGAGGAUAACAGGGUUGGGGCCCUGCAAGCUAAAGCACACAGAGCGUCCCCUCCCUGCACACUAUUCACCCCAUCAAGCGCGGAGACAAAGAAACCCCCUUACCAGAGCUCCAUCCAUAACAAGCCUGUUUUUCUAAGCUGUUACUACCAUGUGAUGCAUUCCCACAAUUAGGCCAGCGACCACACCAAGCUGACAAAACAGCAUCAAAUUAUUACACAGUCAUUUCAAACUUCUGCCACCAACGACGUAAUACAGCGUAAAAACAAAUAAAAACAGGUGGAAUAACUUGUUUGCAUAGUGUUGCAACACCUUUUGUUUCAGUUUCAGCAUUCAUUCUUCUUCAGUACAAGUCUAACUGCAUCUCAUGUCUCAACCCGACAAGAGCUGAGUUUCUAUUAACAGAUCCGCUCUGAUCUUUAAAAGUCAGGAAAUGGCUGAAACACAACAUUAAAUCCUCCUAAAUCUGUCCGCAUCAACAGUCAGAGAGCAACAGCUACAAAAAAAA